GUGUGUGGCUCAGCGGUAGAGUGCUCACCUAGCAUGUGUGAGGCCCUGGGUUUGAUCCUCAAUACCACA
This 69-nucleotide transfer RNA is filed under the name Marmota monax (woodchuck). Its description in RNAcentral is "tRNA.Ala". Lineage: Eukaryota; Metazoa; Chordata; Mammalia; Rodentia; Sciuridae. The record is from RNAcentral.